AUUGAACGCUGGCGGCAUGCCUUACACAUGCAAGUCGAACGGCAGCACGGGAGCAAUCCUGGUGGCGAGUGGCGAACGGGUGAGUAAAGUAUCGGAACGUGCCCAGUCGUGGGGGAUAACGUAGCGAAAGUUACGCUAAUACCGCAUACGAUCGAUGGAUGAAAGCGGGGGAUCGCAAGACCUCGCGCGAUUGGAGCGGCCGAUAUCAGAUUAGGUAGCUGGUGGGGUACAGGCUCACCAAGCCGACGAUCUGUAGCUGGUCUGAGAGGACGACCAGCCACACUGGGACUGAGACACGGCCCAGACUCCUACGGGAGGCAGCAGUGGGGAAUUUUGGACAAUGGGCGAAAGCCUGAUCCAGCCAUGCCGCGUGCAGGAUGAAGGCCUUCGGGUUGUAAACUGCUUUUGUACGGAACGAAAAGGUUUGGCCUAAUAAGCUGAGCUCAUGACGGUACCGUAAGAAUAAGCACCGGCUAACUACGUGCCAGCAGCCGCCGUAA
RNAcentral lists this ribosomal RNA (500 nucleotides) under uncultured bacterium. Its description in RNAcentral is "partial 16S ribosomal RNA". It matches the Rfam family "Bacterial small subunit ribosomal RNA", at positions 30 to 523 of the family's 1533-position model. The record is from RNAcentral.